GUGCCCGGGCGCACGCCACACGAAUCCUCCUUCCCUGGCCCUGCGGUUCUUUCUCCUGUGACGAGGCUUCCCUAUCUGGGCCCGACUGGUUCCGCACCCAACCUUAAACGGUGUCAGACACGCUGGCUAGAACAGGCACGGGAGCACGUGUGGCCUGGUGGCCAAGUGGUGAUGUGGCCACUGGCUCUGGAGUCAAACACUGGGCACAUCCCCACUUAGUCCCCACCCCCUUCCUAGCGGCCCGCAGGACCUCUGUGAGUCGCUGAACCUUGUUGAGCCUCAGUGUUUUCAUCUGCAAAAUGGGGAUAUGCGUACCUGUAGGGAGGACCUUCCGUAGAUGGCGGGGGUAGGAGCUUAACAGAGUUCCUUGCACAAGAUGAACCCUUUGCAUUUUGAUCUGCCCGGCUCUCUGGGCGGGCUCCAGUUCCUCAGGUCACUUACAAGAGGGAUCAAGCUCUCUGGCAAAGACCACUGCUGGACGCGACUUAUUUCUUAAUCUAGGACGAAUGCUCUUCUAGACAAAACGUAUGUCCUCUGUGCCAGGACGCCGGGAUCCAUGUCUUAAAAGGGGUUUUCGGUGAAAGCCCGGCUACCAGACAACCUGGUUUUCGCAAAACCACCAGGAGCAAAACCCAUUGAUAUACAGCGUAAGGAAAUACACAUAAUUCACAAAUGAUGUCGAUCACUUUCAUCUAAGACUUCACAACUGUCCUCAAUAGAAGACAGACGCGGAGGAGAUUUAACGCAGAUGUUAAUAGCGCAAGAAUGCCCCGUUACCAGGAUAUGAUGUUUCGGUGCUGCAUAAAAAUAUUCUGACACUUAUGUAUUCUCAACAAAGACUCCAGGUCCAGGGUCUGUGAAAUUCAGCCAAUGAAGCAGAAGGGGCUUGGACCAUUCCUGCAAAUAGCCAGACCUAUGGAAGAAGCAUGGGCCCUGGGCUUCCCCCAGAGAAUGUGGGGUUCUCGGGACCAGCCUGCCUUCAGCUGCACUGUCCUUAGAGUCCACAUGAGCUCCCUAGGCCAGCCCUGGUCCCCUUGUCCAGCCUUCUUGGCUCCCACUGCCUGGACUUUUCAUUUGUUCCCCGAUGUCUCCUCUCCUUGGCUGCCUCUCUGGGCAUCCAAACAGUCUGAAGCAUUCCUGGUCUCAAGGCCAUCUGUCACCCUGACAGUCUAGGAGCUAUAAGGCCUGGCUCUGCCCAGCCACCUGGAAGGCCCUUCCUGCUGGGAAUCUUGUUGGGGGUGGGGGGGAUGUGGCUGCAAACUAGCCUAGGCGAGGGGGACCCGGCCAGGCCAGCCAGGAGGUCCGGCCUUUGACAAGGCCCUCGAUGACCAGCCUGGCUGAUCGGGCACUAGCUUCCUGUUGCUCCCCCAGAGAGUCCCAGGGGAUACCCUCCAUGAUGGAGGCCUUAGGGCCACCGGGAAGGAGACUAAGGGGCACCUAGACAUGCCAUCCCAGGACCAAGUCAGGACACAGCAGGGCCGGGACUCCUCCUCCCGUCGGGAAUGGAUGCUACAGUCACGGUUCCACGUGAGCAUGUCUAAGGUACGGUGGGAGCAGCCAGGCCCAGGGUCCACCAGAGCCCUCGGGGAGGCACGGGGUGGGCACCCAGCAGCUGCCGGCAGCAGGCAGCCCCUGACAGGUCUUUUGGGGAGUUCACCGGCCUGCACCUCUAAGGAGCCCAGUGCAGCUUCGUUGGAGGGAGGGCGAGACAGAGUCCGAGGCUUCAAGUCAGCCCCUGGCCAGUGGAGCAGACUGAGUGCGGGGCCGCGCCCACGUCCAGCAAACUCAGAGCCCGUGGGCCUCUCUGGACUUUUCCUGGUCCAGCCUGGCCAAGCCUGGAGACCCUUUCUGCUCACUGGGGGACACCCUAGCGGGAGCCGACACAACCCACAGAGGCAACCAGUCUGAAAGUCAUAGGCCUUCGGAGCUUCAGAAGAACAUGGAGAGCCUUCUCUGAGGUCCCCUUGCUGGGGUGAGUCCCAGGAGUGCCCCAGGGGAUGCUAAGCACAAAGGAGAGGGGAGGACAGUAUUUGGGCCUGCGGCGUCCUGCCGGCGGGGACCUCCAGCGUCCCUGUGCUUGCCUGCUUCCUAUGAAAUGUGGUGAUGCAGGCCUCGGGGGCGGAGAGGGGAAAGUGUGCACACCGCGUCAUCAGGCUGCUGUGGUCUCUCCUCUCUUCGGCUGUGUGACUUUGGGCAAGGCGCUAACGUCUCUGUGCCUCGGUUUCCUCAUCAGUCCAAUGGGGGUGAGAAUAAUCGGGGCUGUUGAGGGGUAAGUGAGGAAACACGACGCCCGGAGUGCAGGGCCCUGCACCUAGCCUGUGCUCAGAACCUGUAAGCCAUUCUCGGGGCUGCUCUGGUUGCUGUUCAGGCAAAUCAGAGCAGCCAAACCGCAGGGCUCCGAGGCCCAGGCAGGGGGAAUGUCUGCUGUUCCAGGAGAGCACAGAGGGCCCUCCGCCGUAGCUCAGACAUCUCUGGGGGCGCUGCGUGAUGAUAGGAUCCUACGUGAGAUGCCGUCCCCUGGGCCUCCGGGGCCGUGACCCUAGGUCUUGCGAGGACCCCAUGAGAAGAGAAGGGGGCGCAUUACUGCUUUUUUUUCAUGACUCCCUGCUCUCUGCCUCUGGUUCCCAUGGCGGCAGCCGGUACCCCGCUGGCUCGGGCAGCUCCGGUGACCCCCGCUGACCUCUGGGGACACCGGUGCUCCUGAAGCCCAGCUGUGGCCUGAGUGGGAGCUGCACCAGGUACUUCCCUGGAAGGGCGGCGCCCCCCGCCCGCCCCCUCCGGGCCGGCCCAGCGCUGGAAGUGGGGUUUGAAACGCCGCCAAGGAGAGGAGGCCGUGGGCACCGCCCGGAACGCGAAACAGAUAAAUAAAUAAAUAAUCAGGGUUGUCUU
Molecule: long non-coding RNA, 2889 nt
Organism: Mustela erminea (ermine)
Lineage: Eukaryota; Metazoa; Chordata; Mammalia; Carnivora; Mustelidae
Exons: 3
Source: RefSeq, a predicted model, not a curated record